AAGAGACAGCAGUAGCCGCGGGAAUACAGAGGGUGCGAGCGUUAAUCGGAUUUACUGGGCGUAAAGCGUGCGUAGGCGGCUAAUUGAGUCGGAUGUGAAAUCACCGAGCUUAACUUGGGAAUUGCAUUCGAUACUGGUUAGCUAGAGUGUGGGAGAGGAUGGUAGAAUUCAAGGUGUAGCGGUGAAAUGCGUAGAGAUCUGGAGGAAUACCGAUGGCGAAGGCAGCCAUCUGGCCUAACACUGACGCUGAGGUACGAAAGCAUGGGGAGCAAACAGGAUUAGAUACCCCAGUAGUCCCUGUCUCUUAUAC
Molecule: ribosomal RNA, 310 nt
Filed under: uncultured bacterium
Lineage: Bacteria
Description: partial 16S ribosomal RNA
Rfam family: Bacterial small subunit ribosomal RNA
Source: RNAcentral